RNAcentral lists this ribosomal RNA (253 nucleotides) under uncultured bacterium. Its description in RNAcentral is "partial 16S ribosomal RNA". It matches the Rfam family "Bacterial small subunit ribosomal RNA", at positions 524 to 776 of the family's 1533-position model. The record is from RNAcentral.
UACGAAGGGUGCAACCGUUGCUCGGAAUUAUUGGGCGUAAAGCGCACGUAGGCGGCUUGGCAAGUCGGAUGUGAAAGCCCUCGGCUCAACCAAGGAAGUGCAUCCGAAACUGCUGAGCUUGAGUACUUAAGAGGAUCGCGGAAUUCCCGGUGUAGAGGUGAAAUUCGUAGAUAUCGAGAGGAACACCGGUGGCGAAGGCGGCCUUCUGGACAGUGACUGACGCUGAGACGCGAAAGCGUGGGGAGCAAACAGG